ACUCACUCAUUCCCCUCCCUUCCCUUCUCCCUGAAGAAAGACCAGCUAGAGAGAGA
This 56-nucleotide non-coding RNA is filed under the name Chromera velia. Lineage: Eukaryota; Chromeraceae. The record is from RNAcentral.